Molecule: transfer RNA, 83 nt
Filed under: Candidatus Woesearchaeota archaeon
Lineage: Archaea; Nanobdellati; Candidatus Woesearchaeota
Description: tRNA-Leu
Rfam family: tRNA
About the family: Transfer RNA (tRNA) molecules are approximately 80 nucleotides in length. Their secondary structure includes four short double-helical elements and three loops (D, anti-codon, and T loops).
Source: RNAcentral
GCGGAGGUAGCGAAGUGGUCAAACGCGGCAGGUUCAGGGCCUGUUCCCGAAGGGGUUCGCCGGUUCGAUCCCGGUCCUCCGCA